This 460-nucleotide ribosomal RNA is filed under the name uncultured bacterium. Its description in RNAcentral is "partial 16S ribosomal RNA". It matches the Rfam family "Bacterial small subunit ribosomal RNA", at positions 338 to 795 of the family's 1533-position model. The record is from RNAcentral.
CCUACGGGAGGCAGCAGUGAGGAAUAUUGGUCAAUGGGCGCUAGCCUGAACCAGCCAAGUAGCGUGAAGGAUGACUGCCCUAUGGGUUGUAAACUUCUUUUAUAUGGGAAUAAAGUGCAGUAUGUAUACUGUUUUGUAUGUACUUUAUGAAUAAGGAUCGGCUAACUCCGUGCCAGCAGCCGCGGUAAUACGGAGGAUCCGAGCGUUAUCCGGAUUUAUUGGGUUUAAAGGGAGCGUAGGCGGGUUGUUAAGUCAGUUGUGAAAGUUUGCGGCUCAACCGUAAAAUUGCAAUUGAUACUGGCAUCCUUGAGUACAGUAGAGGUAGGCGGAAUUCGUGGUGUAGCGGUGAAAUGCUUAGAUAUCACGAAGAACUCCGAUUGCGAAGGCAGCCUACUAAACUGUAACUGACGCUGAUGCUCGAAAGUGUGGGUAUCAAACAGGAUUAGAUACCCUGGUAGUC